Culex pipiens pallens (northern house mosquito) is the source of this 287-nucleotide long non-coding RNA. RefSeq lists it as uncharacterized. The record is from RefSeq and is a predicted model, not a curated record. Lineage: Eukaryota; Metazoa; Arthropoda; Insecta; Diptera; Culicidae. The transcript is spliced from 2 exons.
CUGUAACUUCACAAGGAUUGGACUUAGGACAAUGGUCAAUAUGGAGUUUGUCUUUGACCACUUUUUUAUACGAUGCAACGGCUUCGAAAUACAGAAAUAUUUAAAUUCCGAAUUACAAAAAUAUUUAAAACACUUACGCCCUUCUCAAAUGUCAUUAUCGAGUGGAACUGGCUCCAUAUACACAAAAAUGGCUUAUAUAAGCGUAGGAUAAUAUGUCUAUAAAGUUUCAUUGAAAUCGGAGAGGGUCGGGUACAACCGAUUCCCUAUUUGGCAUGGAAUUGCUCUAC